This 2059-nucleotide ribosomal RNA is filed under the name human oral metagenome. RNAcentral's name for it is "bacterial LSU rRNA". It matches the Rfam family "Bacterial large subunit ribosomal RNA", at positions 84 to 2215 of the family's 2925-position model. The record is from RNAcentral.
AUUGGCACAUACGAAUUGAUCCGCAAAUAUCCGAAUGGGGCAACCCAGUAUACUGAAGGUAUACUACAUCGCAAGAUGAGCAAACCCGCUGAACUGAAACAUCUAAGUAGGCGGAGGAGAAGAAAACAAAAGUGAUUCCCAGAGUAGUGGCGAGCGAAAUGGGAGGAGCCCAAACCUGUAUUGUUUCGGCAAUGCAGGGGUUGUAGGACUGCGAUAUUUGCUGUUUAUCGAAUUAGAACACCUUGGAAAAGUGUGACCAUAGAGGGUGAUAGUCCCGUAUAGGUAAGAUAAAUAAGUGAUAGCAGUAUCCUGAGUAGGGCGGGGCACGUGGAACCCUGUCUGAAACUGCCGGGACCAUCCGGUAAGGCUAAAUACUCCUGAGAGACCGAUAGUGGACUAGUACCGUGAGGGAAAGGUGAAAAGCACCGUGAAUAACGGAGUGAAAGAGACCCUGAAACCAUACGCUUACAAGCGGUCGGAGCGGAUAUAUCCGUGACGGCGUGCCUUUUGCAUAAUGAGCCUACGAGUUACUGUUACUGGCAAGGAUAAGCACUUAAGGUGCGCAUUCGAAGCGAAAGCGAGUCUGAAUAGGGCGGUGUAGUCAGUAGGAGUAGACGCGAAACCUGGUGAUCUACCCUUGGGCAGGUUGAAGCACUGGUAACACAGUGUGGAGGACCGAACUGGUUGUCGUUGAAAAGACUUCGGAUGACCUGAGGGUAGGGGUGAAAGGCCAAUCAAACUGGGAAAUAGCUCGUACUCCCCGAAAUGCAUUUAGGUGCAGCGUUGUGACAAAAGUUUAAUAGAGGUAGAGCUACUGAUUGGAUGCGGGGGUUUCACCGCCUACCAAUUCCUGACAAACUCCGAAUGCUAUUAAAUGUUUUACAGCAGUGAGGGCUUGGGUGCUAAGGUCCAAGUCCGAGAGGGAAAGAACCCGGACCAUCAGCUAAGGUCCCCAAAUAUAUGCUAAGUUGAAAAAACGCGGUUGAACUGCAUGGACAGCUAGGAUGUUGGCUUGGAAGCAGCCAUACAUUUAAAGAGUGCGUAACAGCUCACUAGUCGAGCGGUUCGGCAUGGAGAAUAAACGGGCAUAAGCAUAUUACCGAAGCUAUGGGGUAGAGAUACCGGUAGGGGAGCAUUCUAUAGGCGUUGAAGCUAAAGGCGUGAGCCAUAGUGGAGCUUGAUAGAAAAGAAAAUGUAGGCAUAAGUAACGAUAAGGCAGGCGAGAAACCUGCCCGCCGAAAGAUCAAGGUUUCCUCAGCUAUGCUAAUCAGCUGAGGGUUAGUCGGGGACUAACGCGUACCCUUUUAGGGGAAGUGGAUGUACAACUGGUUAAUAUUCCAGUACUAGUAUUUCAAUAAAAGCGACGGAAUGAGAUAUACGCUGCGCACAGACGGAGUUGCGUUGAAGGAGCUGUUAUGGCUUUGAUAGUACACUUAGGCUACGGUCGAGGUGAUAAUGCGUAGACAACGUUUCCAAGAAAAGCGAGAGAUACUACCCGUACCGUAAACCGACACAGGUGAUUGGGAAGAGAAUUCUAAGGCGCUCGAGAGAUUCAUGGCUAAGGAACUAGGCAAAAUAGACCUGUAACUUCGGGAGAAAGGUCGCCUAUCUAGCGAUAGGCCGCAGUGAAAAGGUCCAAGCGACUGUUUAUCAAAAACACAGGACUCUGCAAAAUCGAAAGAUGAGGUAUAGGGUCUGACACCUGCCCGGUGCUGGAAGGUUAAGAGGAGGGCUUAGCGUAAGCGAAGGUCUGAAUUGAAGCCCCAGUAAACGGCGGCCGUAACUAUAACGGUCCUAAGGUAGCGAAAUUCCUUGUCGGGUAAGUUCCGACCUGCACGAAUGGUGUAACGAUUUGGACACUGUCUCGGCCAUGAGCUCGGUGAAAUUGUAGUAUCGGUGAAGAUGCCGAUUACCCGCAGUGGGACGAAAAGACCCUGUGCACCUUUACUAUAUCUUCGUAUUGACCUUGGAUAAGUGAUGCGUAGGAUAGGUGGGAGACAUUGAUUGGGGCAUUCCGGUGCUUCAGGAGUCGUUGUUGAAAUACCACCCUUUGCUUAUC